GCUGAGUCCAAAAAGAGAGUCAGUGAAGGGAGAUAGGGGUGGGGCAAUUUUAUAGGAUUUGGGUAGGUAAAGGAAAAAGGGGGGUUGUUCUCUGGCAGGCAGGAGUGGGGGCCACAAGGUGCUCAGUAGGGGAGCUUUGGAGCCAGGAUGAGCAAGGAGAAGGAAUUUCACAAGGUAAUGUCAUCAGUUAAGGCAGGAACCGGCCAUCUGGAUAUGUACAUGCAGGUCACAGGAGAUAAUGAUGGCUUAGCUUGGGCUCAGAGGACUGACACUCUUCCUCCAGAGGAGGAGACCCAGACAGAAGAGGAGGAGGCAAGGUGAUCACAGAGGCAGAGAUUGGAUCAUGCAGCCACAAGUUGAGGAAUUCUAGUAGCCUCUACAAGCUGGAAGACGCAAGGAAUGGAUUCUCCCCUAGAACCUCUGAAGGAGCAUUCUCCUGCUGACAUUUGAUUGAUUUUGGACUUCUGGCCUCCAGACAAUUAAUUUUUUUUUUUUUUCUUUUUUUUUUUCAGACAGAGGCUUGCUCUGUUGCCCAGUCUGGAGUGCAGUGGCAUGAUCUCAGUUCACUGCAACCUCCACCUCCCAGGCUCAAGCCAUUCUCUUGCCUCAGCCUCCCAAGAAGUGGGGACUACAGGUGCCUGCCACCAUGCAUGGCUAAUUUUUGUAUUUUUAGUAGAGACGAGGUUUUGGCAUAUUGGCCAGGCUGGUCUCGAAUUCCUGGCCUCAAGUGAUUCACCCAACUCAGCCUCCCAAAGUCCUGAGAUUACUUAGGUGUGAGCCACGGCACCUGACACAGACAUUGUUUGAAGCCACCCAUUUCAUGGUUCUUUGCUGCAGUGGUUGUGGAAUAUGAAUGCACUCGUGCUGUUGGUUAGACUUUGCUGACCUUGUGUCUGUUAUUCCCUGGCAGUUCUACAAGGCCUGGAGCUGAUAGGAAAAACCUCCCUUCUUUCCCAAAUGGUCCCCAGCUGCCCCGUUCACUGAAGGCCCUGCAGUCAGGAACGGUCAGGACUUCACACCCAGUUGUUGUGGGUGUUUGGCCGACACGACACUUCCUCUUGUGUGAUUCAUGGACCCGCAGCAUUGCGUCACCUGGGAGCUUUUGGUAUUGAAGACUCUCAGGGCUCACCCGGAAGGACCUGCUGGGCCAGAAUCUACAUUUUAACAAGAUGCCCAGAAACUCCUGGAGGGCAGAGGCAUGCCUGCCAUCUUCAUCAUUGCAUUACCACCACCCAACACUAUCGGGGGACCUGCCCUGAUAAUCAGAAAUGCAUAGGAAUAUGCUGGUGCCUGAAUGUACCAUCC
Molecule: long non-coding RNA, 1305 nt
Filed under: Homo sapiens (human)
Lineage: Eukaryota; Metazoa; Chordata; Mammalia; Primates; Hominidae
Description: HSALNT0132594
Source: RNAcentral